This 214-nucleotide long non-coding RNA is filed under the name Vitis vinifera (wine grape). RNAcentral's name for it is "long non-coding RNA (VVIN_LNC007051)". The record is from RNAcentral. Lineage: Eukaryota; Viridiplantae; Streptophyta; Magnoliopsida; Vitales; Vitaceae.
UUUUUCUUAUUUUGUUUACCCUUUAAAAAUAAAACAAAAAUAAGUGGCGACUCCAAGUAUUUCCUAAAAAAAAAAAAAUCAAAUUUUCACCAAAUAAAUAAAAAAGCCAGUUUCGCCAUCGAGUGGGAAAGCAUCGAGCAAAAAUACGGGGUCCACACCUCUAUUUAUAAAAAUUACUUUUGAAAAAAAUGUAUGAUCACCUCUAAGAUAAUGG